Molecule: ribosomal RNA, 489 nt
Filed under: uncultured bacterium
Lineage: Bacteria
Description: bacterial SSU rRNA
Rfam family: Bacterial small subunit ribosomal RNA
Source: RNAcentral
GAUCAUGGCUCAGGAUGAACGCUAGCGGCAGGCCUAAUACAUGCAAGUCGAACGCUCAGUAGCAAUACUGGGAGUGGCGCACGGGUGCGUAACGCGUACACAAUCUACCUCUAAGCGGGGGACACCUCCUGGAAACGGGGAUUAAUACCGCAUAAUAUGCCGAGGUCGCAUGACUUUGGUAUUAAAGCAGCAAUGCACUUAGAGAUGAGUGUGCGUCCCAUUAGGUAGUUGGUGAGGUAACGGCUCACCAAGCCUAUGAUGGGUAGCCGGUCUGAGAGGAUGGUCGGCCACACGGGCACUGAGACACGGGCCCGACUCCUACGGGAGGCAGCAGUAAGGAAUAUUGGUCAAUGGUGGAAACACUGAACCAGCCAUGCCGCGUGGAGGAAUAAGGUCCUACGGAUUGUAAACUCCUUUUGACGAGGAAGAAAGUGUUAGAUUUAUCUAAUUUUGACGGUACUCGUAGAAUAAGCACCGGCUAACUCCGUG